This 29-nucleotide small RNA is filed under the name Bombyx mori (domestic silkworm). RNAcentral's name for it is "ovarian small RNA-31057". The record is from RNAcentral. Lineage: Eukaryota; Metazoa; Arthropoda; Insecta; Lepidoptera; Bombycidae.
UGAAUAAUUUGUAUGGUAAUUUGUUAAGC